This 253-nucleotide ribosomal RNA is filed under the name uncultured bacterium. RNAcentral's name for it is "partial 16S ribosomal RNA". It matches the Rfam family "Bacterial small subunit ribosomal RNA", at positions 524 to 776 of the family's 1533-position model. The record is from RNAcentral.
UACGGAGGGAGCUAGCGUUGUUCGGAUAUACUGGGCGUAAAGCGCACGUAGGCGGCGCCGUAAGUCAGGGGUGAAAUCCCGGAGCUCAACUCCGGAACUGCCCUUGAUACUGGGAAUCUCGAGUCCGGGAGAGGUGAGUGGAACUGCGAGUGUAGAGGUGAAAUUCGUAGAUAUUCGCAAGAACACCAGUGGCGAAGGCGGCUCACUGGCCCGGUACUGACGCUGAGGUGCGAAAGCGUGGGGAGCAAACAGG